GCAAAGUGUGUUCCAUCCGAGCGGUGAUGUGAGAUGUGUCCCCCCUGUUCUUCAUCGGUUUGCUUGCAAUGAUUGAGAUAGAUGUGCUCAUUUGCCUUGCAGAAAAUGAAAAAUAAAGAUAUCUUUGUGCCCAGAUUCAGAGAUGGUUUGACUACCUAAUCAUAUAUGCAUGUGCAAACCGUCUAAAGCUGACUGUUGGAUGGGGUUGGCGAAGGUGUGCUUGAAUAAGGAUCACCUGAAGGCGUGGAGUCCCUAGCUGCUGGUUGUUGUGUG
Molecule: long non-coding RNA, 273 nt
Organism: Zea mays
Lineage: Eukaryota; Viridiplantae; Streptophyta; Magnoliopsida; Poales; Poaceae
Exons: 3
Source: RefSeq, a predicted model, not a curated record